RNAcentral lists this ribosomal RNA (393 nucleotides) under uncultured bacterium. RNAcentral describes it as "partial 16S ribosomal RNA". It matches the Rfam family "Bacterial small subunit ribosomal RNA", at positions 523 to 918 of the family's 1533-position model. The record is from RNAcentral.
AUACGGAGGAUGCGAGCGUUAUCCGGAUUUAUUGGGUUUAAAGGGAGCGUAGGUGGGAUAUUAAGUCAGCUGUGAAAGUUUGGGGCUCAACCUUAAAAUUGCAGUUGAUACUGGUUUCCUUGAGUACGGUAUAGGUGGGCGGAAUUCGUGGUGUAGCGGUGAAAUGCUUAGAUAUCACGAAGAAAUCCGAUCGCGAAGGCAGCUCACCGGGCCGGAACUGACACUGAUGCUCGAAAGUGCGGGUAUCAAACAGGAUUAGAUACCCUGGUAGUCCGCACAGUAAACGAUGAAUACUCGCUGUUUGCGAUACACUGUAAGCGGCCAAGCGAAAGCGUUAAGUAUUCCACCUGGGGAGUACGCCGGCAACGGUGAAACUCAAAGGAAUUGACGGGG